GCGACCUAUGCCACAGCGGCAGUGGUGCUGGAUCCUCAAGCCGCCGUGCUGGGCUGGGCACCGAACCGGCCCCCUUCCGCAGAGACAGAUGGGAUCAUUAACCCACUGUGGCACAGUGAGGACUCCUGUGAACUCUUUUAAAACUGUCUCUGGAGUCACGGAGAUACUGUUUGGAGGUACUGUUGCCUGAAAAGCCUUCAGGCUUCUAGAUGCACUGAGCCUGGAAACAGGCUGUGCUCACAGACGCUGCUGUGUCUAGUUUGAGCAGAAACAGAUUCAAUUAUAACAGAGAAGUGAGAUUCGGUGGCGGGGUCAGAGAACCAGGUAUGGAUGCCAUUUGGGGAUCUUUCUGUAAAUGAAUUGCCUGUUCAUGGUAUUUGCCUAUUUUGUCCAUUUUUAAGAGCUUUUAAUAUAUUAGGGAUAUUAGCCUUUUAUCUGUGAUUUUUUUUUAAUUAAAAAAAAUUUUUUUGGGCCAUGUCCAUGGCAUGUGGAAGUUCCUGGGCCAAAGAUUGAACCCGCCCUGCAGCAGUGACCCAAGCCACCACAGUGACAAAGUUGAAUCCUUAACCUGCGCUGCCACAAGGGAGCUCCUAUCUCUGAUUUAUGUUGAAAAUACUCUCUCCCACCUUGUCAAUUGCCUCUGACUUUGUUCGUGGUGUUUUUACCUUAAAAAGGUAUCUCUUAUUUUCAGGUAGUUAAAUUUAUUUACCUCUUCUUUUAUUGCAUCUGGAUUAGAUCUGUUUGGAGUUUACUCAUAGGUGAAAUACGAGGUAUUUGAUUUUGAAACCCAAUUUUAUGAAAUGUCUAGGUCUGCCAAGGGUUGCAAAUGAAAAUCCUUUCAAGAGCUAAGCAGAAUGUGAGAUGGGAGAAGAAAAGAGGGAGGGGGUUCCCUUCAUGGCUCAGCAGUAAUGAACGGACUCGGAUGAUCCAUUCCUGGCCUCGCUUAGUGGGUUUAGGAUCCGGCAUUGCCGUGAGCUGUGGUGUGGGUCACAGAUGCGGCUCGGAUCCCGCGUUGCCGUGGCCGUGGUGUAGGCCAGUAGCUGCUGCUCUGAUUGGACCUCUAGCCUGGGAACCUCCAUAUGCCGUGGGUGCGGCCCUAAACAACAAACAAACAAAAAAACCACACCCCCCCCCACACUCAUAGGGGGUAUGCUAGUUUCCUAAGGCUGGCAGAAACAAAUGACCCCUAACUUGGGGCCUGGAAACAACAGAAAUGUAUCACCCCAGCUCUAGAGGCUGGAAGCCCAAGAUCCGGGUGUGGGCUGGCUUCGUUCCUUCCCGGGGCUCUGAUGAGACUCUGUCCCAGGCCCUUGUCCCAGGUCCCGGUGACUGACAGCAGUCCUUGGCAUCCUUCACGCAUUGCCACGUCGCUGCAAUCGCUGCUCCGUCCGCACGUGGCCUUCUUCCCUGCGUGUCUGUGUGCCAACUUUCCCGCUCAGCCUAAGGCUACCAGUCAUUGGAUUCAGGGCCCGCCCCACUCCAGUCUGACCUCAUUUAACCUGAUUACACCUGCAAAGACCCUGUAUCCAAAUAAGUUCACCUUCGUAGGUUCCGGGGAGACAGGCAUUUGUGGGGGGGAGCCCCCGGCGCCUGUGGGUGGAGAGCCUGGGGACCUUCCGUGGAUCUCAUGUCGCUGUUGACUGGUCCUUCCUGGUGACGAAGGGUCUGCUGUGCUGGGAAACUCCUCAGACGCCAUUGACUCUGAAAACGGGUUUUGAAAAACUUCGACAGCUUGUCAUUGUCACAUGAUCGGAGAAAAGGCGAAAGAACCCAGAGGCCGGCUCUCCUGAGUCUGAACAAAGAGUUGGCCUUCCCUCCAGCCUUCCGGGGGCAGGCUUGUUUGGCCUCAAUAUUUGGGUUUCCCCUGGGAGGCCAGGCCCUUGCUCUGCUUUUUCCCUCAGUGUAAAGGGGUGAAUUCAUGCGAGUCCCUCGUGCCAAGAGAGAGCCCAUUUCAUCCAAGAGAAAGGGGAAGGCAGUGUCCCCCACCCUGAGAGCCAGGGGAGGGCUCAUCUCCCCUGAAGGCCUGAGGACCCCCCAACCCUGGAAUUGCCCCCCCCUUCGAAUAUUAACCCAGAUGCUGUUGUGAAGAGAUUUUGCAAAUGGACGGUCCCAGGUCAGGUGACCUUAAGGCUCGGAGAUGGUCUGUGUGGGCUGGACCCAUUCAGGUGAAUCUUGUCAAAUCAGAGUGAUUUCUCUGGUGGGAGGAGGCAUCAGAGAUUUUCGAAAGGUCAGAAACACAGGCCACGCCAUCCCCUUUCUGCUCCGAAGUCAGAAGGAGCCACCAGGGAAGUGUGAGCCACCCAGCCAGCAGGGGCCAGACCCACAGCCUCCAGGAUGCAGGUUCUCGGGCGGAGGACAGCCCCGUGGGGGGACACCUGGGUUUUCCCCUGAGACCCGAACAGAGCACCUAGUCGAGCCUGUUCAGAUUUCUGGUCCACGGAACUCCAGGUGAUAAGUGGGGUUAAUUUAAGCCACUAGAUUGGUGGUGAGUCGUCAUGCAGCGGGAGAAAGGACCCCGCCUCUGGUCUCGGAAGGUCGGAGGAGAAGCAGAGAUUUGGGAAAUCGGGCGACUCCACUGUUUCUGGCUGGUCCACCCCCGUCCUGUGUGCGUUGAGUCCUGCCACAGCGCCUGUGCCCUGCCCGAGACCGCAACACCCCGCAGUGAGCCAGCCGGCUGUGCAGAGCAAUCAGACACGUGACCGUCUUGUGGUCAACUCGUGACUGGAGACCUGGGAACCAGGUGGGUCUAACCACAUUUUUUCUGGCUGUUUUAGAACUUCCUAGAACCAAGGAAUCUUGAUCAAGUUCCUUAACAGUAUCAAUUCCCC
This 2828-nucleotide long non-coding RNA is filed under the name Sus scrofa (pig). Its description in RNAcentral is "lncRNA (ENSSSCG00050049724.1)". The record is from RNAcentral. Lineage: Eukaryota; Metazoa; Chordata; Mammalia; Artiodactyla; Suidae.